GGAAAAAGAAAAAUAGAAAAUCCAACUAAGAAAGAGUAAAAUAAAGACAAAUAUCCAAAGAUCCCUAGUGCACAUAGCAAGGUACCACAAGGGGCCCAGGCGUGCAUCUUAGGAUGACACCCAGCUAAAAGACCACAAGAGGGGCUUCAACUUGAGCCUGAGUAAGGUGGCAUGGAGCCUAGGCAUGUCUGGGUUGCAAUUUUGACAACUAUGGUUUGAGGCAAUGAAAUGAAGAAAUACUUGAAAAGCAUCAAUAAGAUUUACCUCCUUUCUCAAUUUGAC
This 282-nucleotide unclassified non-coding RNA is filed under the name Hevea brasiliensis (rubber tree). The record is from RNAcentral. Lineage: Eukaryota; Viridiplantae; Streptophyta; Magnoliopsida; Malpighiales; Euphorbiaceae.